CCUACGGGUGGCAGCAGUGGGGAAUAUUGCACAAUGGGGGAAACCCUGAUGCAGCGACGCCGCGUGAGUGAAGAAGUAAUUCGUUACGUAAAGCUCUAUCAGCAGGGAAGAAAAUGACGGUACCUGAGUACGAAGCCCCGGCUAACUACGUGCCAGCAGCCGCGGUCAUACGUAGGGGGACAGCGUUAGCCGGAUUUACUGGGUGUAAAGGGAGAGUAGACGGGGCGCCAAGUCUGGAGUGAAAUGCCGCAGCUUAACUGCGGAACUGCUUUGGAAACUGGCGAACUAGAGUGCGGGAGGGGUAAGCGGAAUUCGUGGUGUAGCGGUGAAAUGCGUAGAUAUUAGGAGGAACACCGGUGGCGAAGGUGGCUUACUGGACCGUAACUGACGUUGAGGCACGAAAGCGUGGGGAGCAAACAGGAUUAGAUACCCCGGUAGUC
RNAcentral lists this ribosomal RNA (440 nucleotides) under uncultured bacterium. RNAcentral's name for it is "partial 16S ribosomal RNA". It matches the Rfam family "Bacterial small subunit ribosomal RNA", at positions 338 to 795 of the family's 1533-position model. The record is from RNAcentral.